CUUGCCCUUUAGAAGGGAGUGUAACGCAUGCGCAAAGGGAGCGCUCUACGCAGCAGCUGGGGCUGAUGACUGUCCUGUCAGGACCCUGAGGAGGCCAGUAUUCAUUGUUCCUGCCUGACCUCCAGAGAAAUAGCAGAUGCCAUUGUAAGGAUUCUGUCCCUAAUUAAGUCACCAGCCUGCGACGGCAUCCCAGCCUAAAAAAGCAGCAUGGCUGCUGCGGGCGGCGGCCAGCCACGAGCAGCGCCGCAGCAUAACCAACAUUUGGUGCCGUGACUCAGAUAGACCACCAAGGACCUGCAGACUGCUGCCACUUGCCACCCCCUCCCCCAUCCAGCAAGACCGAAAGCCCGCGAGUGCGCACACGCAUCCCUCACCUCCGCUGGACCCCUAUACAGCUACCACUACUGAUACCGCCAUGAUUCUUCACCCCAUUUUUUUCUGUAUCACCAGCAUCUUGUCAAACAAAAAGUUUCCAGCCACAGCCAAGAGGGAUACAUGUCUCCAGAGCAAAUGAAUGACAGACAGCAUCCCACAACGCCUGUCUACCUCAGAAGACUCCCCUUCUCCAUUCCCCCAAGAGCCAACAGAUGUCCAAAAGUCAGCUGGAAGUAGUUUUUGAGAGGAAUGACGCCCCUAUUCCCAUCUACCUGCUUUUUAAUUAUUAUUAGCGAAAAUCUGGGAAGUAAGGAUUCUGUCCUUAAUUAAGUCACCAGCCUGCGACAGCGUCCCAGCCUAAAAAAGCAGCACUCUCCUCCGCCAGCAUGGCUGCCACGGGUGGCGGCCAGCCACGAGCAGCGCCAAUUUAACCAACAGCCAUGGCUUCUAUACUCCUGAUUUGGCAUGCCAUUUCCCUGCAAGUUCCUGGAACACCACUGCUGCAACCUGCCUCAGCUCCCUCAAGGAAUGUUCCUGAAAUCUUCCACUGUGUGUGACUCCCAGUUCCCCCUCCCCACUUCACCCCUUGUCAGCUUGAAGUAGCCUCGAGAAUUCAGCACCCUUGUUCCCCCACUUGCUCCCAUAACUCACCUCUUUUCAUAAUAAUCAAAAUGGAGGAAUGUUAAUAUUCUGAUCUGCCCCUUGGGGCCACUCUGCAUCCUGAUGUAGAAGCCUCUUCUUAAGGAAAAACUCUGCCCCUUUCUCUCUUUCUCCACUCUCACGAGGUGUGCACCCCUUGACCUCUCUUUCUCUCUUCUCUCCCUCUUUCCUAUCUUCUCUCUGUCUCUCUAUUAUAAUAAACCAUUUCCUCGAAGA
This is a long non-coding RNA of Peromyscus californicus insignis, 1251 nucleotides long. RefSeq lists it as uncharacterized. NCBI's taxonomy places the organism in Eukaryota, Metazoa, Chordata, Mammalia, Rodentia, Cricetidae. The record is from RefSeq and is a predicted model, not a curated record. The transcript has 5 exons.